Heterocephalus glaber (naked mole-rat) is the source of this 1798-nucleotide long non-coding RNA. Lineage: Eukaryota; Metazoa; Chordata; Mammalia; Rodentia; Bathyergidae. The record is from Ensembl.
GUGGAGGCACCUGGGCAGGCGACACCGCCUCCUCUCGCGCGACUCCCAACUGUAGGGCCAGCAGAGGGGUCGCGGAAGAGCAGGAGGUAGCCCCAGCCGCCCGGGGUCCCAGGAACCUCUGGAAUCUGCAAGGAGGCUGCCUUGGACGACUGGGAGGAGUGGCAAAGCCUGGCCGCCCCUGGAGUCUACACCUGAAGAUUCCUACUCUUGGUGAAACAGCUAGUCCUGCCCCGCCUCCGCUCCCCGGAGCCCGGAUCAGGAGCCAAAGCGAAAUAAUUACAGAGGAGUAACGAUGUUCUGAGCACUGUGGCAUAUUUGCCCGUGGUCUUCUCCCUUACCUGAAGGCUUACCUUAGAUCCAGGCCUGAGAAACACGCUAAGUGAUCCGAAGUCAGAAGGCACCAACCACCGCUGGCUACCUGUUCUCAGCUCAGAUGUUACCAGAAACCCUGGAGAGCACAAAUCCAUGUGCGCACACAUACACAGCCCUCGCCACUGCAUGCCUGUGUUCCCGCAUGCAUCUGGCACAGCUAGGGUUUGGGGUGCGGCCCCUCCCCCUGCCCCUUGCCCCUGGGUGGUACCUGGGAGCCACCCCAGGUCUCUGUCCUUCCGCCUCUGAGGUGGGUCCUGGGUGAUCUCCAAAGAAAGCAGAAGAGAGCUUCCCAGAGGCCAGCGCAGAUGGUUUGGGACUGAGAGGCUUGAGGCCUCUUCCUAAGCACAACUGUGGGGAAGACUGAUACACCCCAAGACUGAAGAAUUCUAGGUCCUGGUUCUGACUGUUGUGGCUGCUGAGGAUCGUGCUCAUUUGUGUACCUGUAAGACAGCGAGACCCCAGCUCAGAAGACAAAGAAGAAUACUUGUGCAAGUGAUGGUGGGAAAUACAGACUCCCCGUGGCUCAAAGGCGUUCAGAAAAGGGUCAUUUUCCUGUGUCCUCUCAUGCACCUCAAGGUCUAUCUAUGAUUCAUGCAUUGCUACUGCCACCAGGCUCUGCCCCCAAGGCAGGGAUGUGCACAACUCCAGAAGUGUGCUUCAAAGUCUUCAAGGGGACACAACCCCAAGAAGUGUAACUCCUCUAAUGAGACAAGUAUUUUAUAAUAGUUUUCAAGCUCUGAAUUCUUAUAAUUCAGUUAACUAAGAAUCUAAAUCAUCCAGGCUGAAAAAUCUGAGAAAGAUGGUAAAAGUGCUCAUCAGUUAUAAAACCCUAAAAAUGGAUGAUUGCCAGACCCUGGGUAUAUACACAGGCGUGAUUCUUUUUUCAAUUAGGCAUCUCUAUGUGUAAAUCUUAUGUGCAGAUUAUAGAGUGGUAGAAAAACAUCAUUACCUAGAGGCAUUGCUUUCCAGGCACUUCUCAGCUCCCUCUGGACCAGAAGAGGUGAUUUGGCCUCUGUUUCUGAGUCUGGUGUAGGCAGUGAAAAUGCCUGAAAUACUUUACUGCCUGUGGCUCUAAGUUUGCAGUGCAUUCAGCCAGUGGCCAGCAACCUCAUCUGCAUACCAAUAACCAGCAGCCUCCAUGCACUUUUAGUCCCAGAGAACAAGGAAGCAUCCUCACCGUGUCUGGGUGCUGCAACAGCCGCACUGGGUCACAGCUUUGGUCCUGCACAUAAGUCAAGCAACAGGCUGUGUAUUCCUGUCGAGAGAUGAAGACAACUUAGGCCCAGAUGUAAGACAUACGAUAUUAAGAUGGAUGACGUCAAACAAACAUGGUCACUUUGACCCCAAAGCCACUGGAACCACACAAUGUUGGGUCUGGACGGGACUUUAGAGCCUUUCUAGGCCACUGGUUCUUAAGCUGUUUCAG